Molecule: ribosomal RNA, 253 nt
Filed under: uncultured bacterium
Lineage: Bacteria
Description: partial 16S ribosomal RNA
Rfam family: Bacterial small subunit ribosomal RNA
Source: RNAcentral
UACAGAGGGGGCAAGCGUUAUUCGGAAUUAUUGGGCGUAAAGAGCGUGUAGGCGGCCAGGUAGGUCUGCUGUGAAAACUCGAGGCUCAACCUCGAGACGUCGGCGGAAACCAUCUGGCUAGAGUCCGGAAGAGGAGAGUGGAAUUCCUGGUGUAGCGGUGAAAUGCGCAGAUAUCAGGAAGAACACCCGUGGCGAAGGCGGCUCUCUGGGACGGUACUGACGCUGAGACGCGAAAGCGUGGGGAGCGAACAGG